CGGCGGACGGGUGAGUAACGCGUGGGUAGCCUGCCUCAUACAGGGGGAUAACAGUUGGAAACGGCUGCUAAUACCGCAUAAGCGCACAGUACCGCAUGGUACGGUGUGAAAAACUCCGGUGGUAUGAGAUGGACCCGCGUCUGAUUAGGUAGUUGGUGGGGUAACGGCCUACCAAGCCGAUGAUCAGUAGCCGACCUGAGAGGGUGACCGGCCACAUUGGGACUGAGACACGGCCCAA
RNAcentral lists this ribosomal RNA (238 nucleotides) under uncultured bacterium. RNAcentral describes it as "partial 16S ribosomal RNA". It matches the Rfam family "Bacterial small subunit ribosomal RNA", at positions 96 to 334 of the family's 1533-position model. The record is from RNAcentral.